This is a long non-coding RNA of Lutra lutra (Eurasian river otter), 362 nucleotides long. RefSeq lists it as uncharacterized. The record is from RefSeq and is a predicted model, not a curated record. Lineage: Eukaryota; Metazoa; Chordata; Mammalia; Carnivora; Mustelidae. The transcript has 4 exons.
UCCAAAUGUCAUCACCCCCUUGAGGGCUGAUUGGACACGAACUUGACACUUCCCAAAAUGCUUUGUAUGAGCAUUGUGCCGAACUCAGACACGUGCAGGUUUGUUGUAAAGUGUCUGGCUAAUGUGGCUGGAAUUGUUUUGUGGACAGCUCUAUGCACGUCAACAAGAAAGAGUGGGUUUGAACGUGCAUUUCCUGUCGCUGUCUGGAGCCAGGGAUCAGAGCGAACGUGCCUGGUGCCUUUCUUCCUGACACGUAAAUGAGUGAUUUCUAGGGAUCUGACAGCGAGGGCCCUGAGGAGUGGCCAUCUCACGAAGACCGACAGAGUCUGUGGAGAGGUCAUUGGGAAAACUGAAAAUAGUGA